UUGUAUCUACUGGCCCAUUUGGUCGUAUUUUUGAAAGAGGGUUUGGGGUCCCCUUCACUGGGUGUCCUAGGUCGCUUUCAGGUUUACUUUGAAAAAAUUAGAGUGCUCAAAGCAGGCUUUAACGCUUGAAUAUUCGUGCGUGGAAUAAUAGAAUAGGAAGUUCGUUUCUAUUUUGUUGGUUUUAGGAUAACGACUUAAUGAUUAAUAGGGACAAUCGGGGGAAUUAGU
Molecule: ribosomal RNA, 228 nt
Filed under: uncultured eukaryote
Lineage: Eukaryota
Description: partial 18S ribosomal RNA
Rfam family: Eukaryotic small subunit ribosomal RNA (bases 65-228)
Source: RNAcentral